UACGUAGGGGGCAAGCGUUAUCCGGAAUCAUUGGGCGUAAAGAGCGUGUAGGCGGUCCGGUAAGUCCGCUGUGAAAGUCGGGGGCUCAACCCUCGAAUGCCGGUGGAUACUGUCGGGCUAGAGUGCGGAAGAGGCGAGUGGAAUUCCUGGUGUAGCGGUGAAAUGCGCAGAUAUCAGGAGGAACACCUAUUGCGAAGGCGGCUCGCUGGGACGUAACUGACGCUGAGACGCGAAAGCGUGGGGAGCAAACAGG
Molecule: ribosomal RNA, 253 nt
Filed under: uncultured bacterium
Lineage: Bacteria
Description: partial 16S ribosomal RNA
Rfam family: Bacterial small subunit ribosomal RNA
Source: RNAcentral